GCGCGGGACACGCCAAAUCCCCGCGAGGGGAGCCGGGGACCCACCGGCGGCGACCCCCAUCGCCGUCACCCGGGGUGAAUCCGAGUCGUUCGGUAGGGCUGCUCCGGCCCGAACCCGUCAGCUAACCCGGUAGGCGUCGAGGAAGGGAGCU
RNAcentral lists this small RNA (151 nucleotides) under Nonomuraea sp. RNAcentral's name for it is "c-di-AMP sequence". It matches the Rfam family "c-di-AMP riboswitch aptamer (ydaO/yuaA leader)". Rfam says of the family: This family represents a conserved RNA structure found upstream of the ydaO and yuaA genes in Bacillus subtilis and related genes in other bacteria. The ydaO/yuaA element is thought to act as a genetic "off" switch for the ydaO and yuaA genes in its native state. RNAcentral also lists the same sequence under 1 other name. Lineage: Bacteria; Bacillati; Actinomycetota; Actinomycetes; Streptosporangiales; Streptosporangiaceae. The record is from RNAcentral.